Molecule: ribosomal RNA, 458 nt
Filed under: uncultured bacterium
Lineage: Bacteria
Description: partial 16S ribosomal RNA
Rfam family: Bacterial small subunit ribosomal RNA
Source: RNAcentral
CCUACGGGUGGCUGCAGUGAGGAAUAUUGCACAAUGGGGGAAACCCUGAUGCAGCGACGCCGCGUGAGUGAAGAAGUAAUUCGUUACGUAAAGCUCUAUCAGCAGGGAAGAAACACUGACCUUACGGUCAGCAGACGGUACCUGAGUAAGAAGCGCCGGCUAACUACGUGCCAGCAGCCGCGGUAAUACGGAGGGUCCGGGCGUUAUCCGGAUUUAUUGGGUUUAAAGGGAGCGUAGGCGGGCUUUUAAGUCAGCUGUGAAAGUCCGGGGCUCAACCCUGGAAUUGCAGUUGAAACUGGAGGCCUUGAGUGCAGACAGGGAUGCCGGAAUUCAUGGUGUAGCGGUGAAAUGCUUAGAUAUCAUGAAGAACUCCGAUCGCGAAGGCGAGUUUCCGGGGUGCAACUGACGCUGAGGCUCGAAAGUGCGGGUAUCAAACAGGAUUAGAUACCCGAGUAGUC